RNAcentral lists this ribosomal RNA (424 nucleotides) under Verrucomicrobiota bacterium. Its description in RNAcentral is "Verrucomicrobia bacterium partial 16S ribosomal RNA". It matches the Rfam family "Bacterial small subunit ribosomal RNA", at positions 355 to 776 of the family's 1533-position model. Lineage: Bacteria; Pseudomonadati; Verrucomicrobiota. The record is from RNAcentral.
UGAGGAACAUUGGUCAAUGGACGCAAGUCUGAACCAGCCAAGUAGCGUGCAGGAUGACGGCCCUAUGGGUUGUAAACUGCUUUUAUAUGGGGAUAAAGUGGGGAACGUGUUCCCUUUUGCAGGUACCAUAUGAAUAAGGACCGGCUAAUUCCGUGCCAGCAGCCGCGGUAAUACGGAAGGUUCGGGCGUUAUCCGGAUUUAUUGGGUUUAAAGGGAGCGUAGGCCGUUUGGUAAGCGUGUUGUGAAAUGUAGGAGCUCAACUUCUAGAUUGCAGCGCGAACUGUCAGACUUGAGUGCGCACAACGUAGGCGGAAUUCAUGGUGUAGCGGUGAAAUGCUUAGAUAUCAUGACGAACUCCGAUUGCGAAGGCAGCUUACGGGAGCGCAACUGACGCUAAAGCUCGAAGGUGCGGGUAUCGAACAGG